AACGAACGCUGGCGGCAGGCUUAACACAUGCAAGUCGAGCGCCCCGCAAGGGGCGCGGCAGACGGGUGAGUAACGCGUGGGAACGUACCUUUUGGUUCGGAACAACUCCGGGAGACUGGAGCUAAUACCGGAUAAGCCCUAACGGGGAAAGAUUUAUCGCCGAAAGAUCGGCCCGCGUCUGAUUAGCUAGUUGGUGUGGUAACAGCUCACCAAGGCGACGAUCAGUAGCUGGUCUGAGAGGAUGAUCAGCCACACUGGGACUGAGACACGGCCCAGACUCCUACGGGAGGCAGCAGUGGGGAAUAUUGGACAAUGGGCGCAAGCCUGAUCCAGCCAUGCCGCGUGAGUGAUGAAGGCCUUAGGGUUGUAAAGCUCUUUUGUCCGGGAAGAUAAUGACUGUACCGGAAGAAUAAGCCCCGGCUAACUUCGUG
This 431-nucleotide ribosomal RNA is filed under the name uncultured bacterium. Its description in RNAcentral is "partial 16S ribosomal RNA". It matches the Rfam family "Bacterial small subunit ribosomal RNA", at positions 29 to 507 of the family's 1533-position model. The record is from RNAcentral.